This 301-nucleotide ribosomal RNA is filed under the name uncultured bacterium. RNAcentral describes it as "partial 16S ribosomal RNA". It matches the Rfam family "Bacterial small subunit ribosomal RNA", at positions 509 to 807 of the family's 1533-position model. The record is from RNAcentral.
CAGCAGCCGCGGUAAUACGAAGGGUGCAAGCGUUACUCGGAAUUACUGGGCGUAAAGCGUGCGUAGGUGGUGGUUUAAGUCCGUUGUGAAAGCCCUGGGCUCAACCUGGGAAUUGCAGUGGAUACUGGGUCACUAGAGUGUGGUAGAGGAUAGUGGAAUUUCCGGUGUAGCAGUGAAAUGCGUAGAGAUCGGAAGGAACAUCUGUGGCGAAGGCGACUAUCUGGGCCAACACUGACACUGAGGCACGAAAGCGUGGGGAGCUAACAGGAUUAGAUACCCGCGUAGUCCCUGUCUCUUAUAC